GACGAAUGCUGGCGGCGUGCCUAAUACAUGCAAGUUGAGCGAUGAAGAUUGGUGCUUGCACCAAUUUGAAGAGCAGCGAACGGGUGAGUAACGCGUGGGGAAUCUGCCUUUGAGCGGGGGACAACAUUUGGAAACGAAUGCUAAUACCGCAUAACAACUUUAAACAUAAGUUUUAAGUUUGAAAGAUGCAAUUGCAUCACUCAAAGAUGAUCCCGCGUUGUAUUAGCUAGUUGGUGAGGUAAAGGCUCACCAAGGCGAUGAUACAUAGCCGACCUUAGAGGGGGAUCGGCCACCUUGGGACUGAGACACGGCCCAAACUCCUACGGGAGGCAGCAGUAGGGAAUGUUCGGCAAUGGACGAAAGUCUGACCGAGCAACGCCGCGUGAGUGAAGAAGGUUUUCGGAUCGUAAAACUCUGUUGGUAGAGAAGAACGUUGGUGAGAGUGGAAAGCUCAUCAAGUGACGGUAACUACCCAGAAAGGGACGGCUAACUACGUGCCAGCCGCCGCCGUAA
RNAcentral lists this ribosomal RNA (513 nucleotides) under uncultured bacterium. Its description in RNAcentral is "partial 16S ribosomal RNA". It matches the Rfam family "Bacterial small subunit ribosomal RNA", at positions 28 to 523 of the family's 1533-position model. The record is from RNAcentral.